GUUUGAGUGGAGUAGUAGUUUAACUCGCUGCCCUCCCAAACUCAUGUCUGGAGUUGAGGCAGAGACUCGGGUGCGAAUCCCGGCUCAAGCA
Molecule: non-coding RNA, 91 nt
Organism: Sordaria brevicollis
Lineage: Eukaryota; Fungi; Ascomycota; Sordariomycetes; Sordariales; Sordariaceae
Source: the annotation of a GenBank genome assembly